UGCAACUAGAGUGGCAGGACUCUCACCUUAUCUAGGUAAAUCAAAACAUGGUUGUUGCUGACUUCUGUUCGGCUCACAUCAUCAGAUCUUUCAAGCUGAAGAACAUGAAGACAUUGCAAAUGUUAAUAAACAGAAGAAAGCCCCUGGGAAACCCAGAGAAAAGAAGAAUUUUUAUUACCAAAUUAUAUUAAGCAUGAGGAUAAUAUUUCUUCUAAUAUUUUUUUGACUUUUCAGGGCGAAUGGUUACUAUGAACCCUCUGUUCUCAUCUGCUCCAAGAGUCUCACCUGGAGGUAGACACACCCUUUUCCUGUUGCUGUCAUGCUGUAAUCUCCAGGCACCUUUGGCAAUGAAAUCUGCUGCAGUAACAAGCGGUUGUCGUUGUCCACUUGGAAAUUUGUGGAAAAUGUCCCUGAAGAUUGAAU
This is a long non-coding RNA of Myotis myotis, 423 nucleotides long. RefSeq lists it as uncharacterized. The record is from RefSeq and is a predicted model, not a curated record. Lineage: Eukaryota; Metazoa; Chordata; Mammalia; Chiroptera; Vespertilionidae. The transcript is spliced from 2 exons.